This 468-nucleotide ribosomal RNA is filed under the name uncultured bacterium. RNAcentral describes it as "partial 16S ribosomal RNA". It matches the Rfam family "Bacterial small subunit ribosomal RNA", at positions 28 to 507 of the family's 1533-position model. The record is from RNAcentral.
GAUGAACGCUGGCGGCGUGCUUAACACAUGCAAGUCGAACGGAAAGGCCCUGAGUUUGUGGCGUGCUCGAUUGGCGAACGGGUGAGUAACACGUGAGGAACCUCCACUUGUCUUUCGGGUAAAUUUAGGAAACUGGGGCGAAUACCGGAUAGGAGCUCCUGCUGCGUGGGGGGGGAUGGAAAGAGUCGGCGGUUGUGGCGGGUCUGGCGGCUUAUCAGCUUGUUAGUGGGGUAGUGGCGGACCAAGGCUACGACGGGUAGCCGGCCUGGGAGGGUGACCGGCCACAUUGGGACUGAGGUACGGCGCAGACUCCUACGGGAGGCAGCAGUGGGGAGUAUUGCAGAGUGGCCGGAAGCCAGAUGUGGCGACGCCGCGUGCGGGAUGACGGCCUUCGGGUUGUAAACCGCUUUCGCCUGUGACGAAGAGUGCGUGACGGUAAUGGGUAAAGAAGCCCCGGCUAACUACGUG